GAAAUGCGAUAAGUAAUGUGAAUUGCAGAAUUCAGUGAAUCAUCGAAUCUUUGAACGCACAUUGCGCCCGCCAGUAUUCUGGCGGGCAUGCCUGUUCGAGCGUCAUUACAACCCUCAGGCCCCCGGGCCUGGCGUUGGGGAUCGGCGGAAGCCCCCUGCGGGCACAACGCCGUCCCCCAAAUACAGUGGCGGUCCCGCCGCAGCUUCCAUUGCGUAGUAGCUAACACCUCGCAACUGGAGAGCGGCGCGGCCACGCCGUAAAACACCCAACUUCUGAAUGUUGACCUGGAAUCAGGUAGGAAUACCCGCUGAACUUAGGC
RNAcentral lists this unclassified non-coding RNA (320 nucleotides) under plant metagenome. RNAcentral describes it as "partial contains 5.8S ribosomal RNA, internal transcribed spacer 2, and large subunit ribosomal RNA". The stretch from base 1 to 105 matches the Rfam family "5.8S ribosomal RNA", at positions 50 to 154 of the family's 154-position model. The record is from RNAcentral.